This is a non-coding RNA of Collariella sp. IMI 366227, 74 nucleotides long. NCBI's taxonomy places the organism in Eukaryota, Fungi, Ascomycota, Sordariomycetes, Sordariales, Chaetomiaceae. The record is from the annotation of a GenBank genome assembly.
UCCUCGGUGGCGCAAUUGGCUAGCGCGUCUGACUGUUAAUCAGGAGGUUGAAAGUUCAAGCCUUUCCCGAGGAG